CCUACGGGAGGCUGCAGUAGGGAAUCUUCCACAAUGGGCGAAAGCCUGAUGCAGCAACGCCGCGUGGGUGAAGAAGGUCUUCGGAUCGUAAAACCCUGUCGUUAGAGAAGAAAGUGCGUGAGAGUAACUAUUCACGUUUUGACGGUAUCUACACAGAAAGCAACGGCUAACUACGUGCCAGCAGCCGCGGUAAUACGGAGGUGGCAAGCGUUAUCCGGAUUUAUUGGGCGUAAAGGGAACGCAGGCGGUCUUUUAAGUCUGAUGUGAAAGCCCUCGGCUUAACCGGGGUAUUGCAUUGGAAACUGGGAGACUUGAGUGCAUAAGAGGAGAGUGGAACUCCAUGUGUAGCGGUGAAAUGCGUAGAUAUAUGGAAGAACACCAGUGGCGAAGGCGGCUCUCUGG
This 402-nucleotide ribosomal RNA is filed under the name uncultured bacterium. Its description in RNAcentral is "partial 16S ribosomal RNA". It matches the Rfam family "Bacterial small subunit ribosomal RNA", at positions 338 to 732 of the family's 1533-position model. The record is from RNAcentral.